AACGAACGCUGGCGGCAGGCCUAACACAUGCAAGUCGAGCGAGGACUUCGGUUCUAGCGGCGGACGGGUGAGUAACGCGUGGGAAUGCGCCCUUCUCUACGGAAUAGCCCUGGGAAACUGGGAGUAAUACCGUAUACGCCCUAUUGGGGAAAGAUUUAUCGGAGAAGGAUCAGCCCGCGUUGGAUUAGGUAGUUGGUGGGGUAAUGGCCUACCAAGCCGACGAUCCAUAGCUGGUUUGAGAGGAUGAUCAGCCACACUGGGACUGAGACACGGCCCAGACUCCUACGGGAGGCAGCAGUGGGGAAUCUUAGACGAUGGGGGCAACCCUGAUCUAGCCAUGCCGCGUGAGUGAUGAAGGCCUUAGGGUUGUAAAGCUCUUUCAGCUGGGAAGAUAAUGACGGUACCAGCAGAAGAAGCCCCGGCUAACUCCGUG
This 433-nucleotide ribosomal RNA is filed under the name uncultured bacterium. Its description in RNAcentral is "partial 16S ribosomal RNA". It matches the Rfam family "Bacterial small subunit ribosomal RNA", at positions 29 to 507 of the family's 1533-position model. The record is from RNAcentral.